UCAUCGGUAAUUGUUUUGGCAUGGUUUUGAAGUGAACAACGCGAUCGUCUUCAAGUGUGUAUCAGACCAUGGCCAAAGUUGAUUUUUUAUGCUAAGCCAUGACUUCCAGCAAUGUGAGCAUGGAGGAAAGAAGAAAUUCUUUCCUCCAUGAGCGUGAGGGAACGUAAAGUGAACAUGCCAUUUAUAAUGCAGCAUGAGAAAAAGAGCAGCUGGCUGCUUUAACACUGGGCCUGGCAAUUGAAUAUGACAGCAACCAGCACAGAAGGCGACGGUGUGCCGCGUGAUUGACUUCUUCAGAUGAGCAGCAUGUGUCUGGUGCAGACGAUGGCGGCUUUUUACAAGGCUUAAGGGAAACUUUUCCAACACAUUCACGUCUGCAAGCAAGCUUCGCUGUCCUUUCUGAGCCUCUAGUCCCGCAGAAUAGUACCAAUAGCCGCUUGACUGAUGUGCCUUUCAUGUUCAUGAGCCCUGAGCACUCUGGAUCUUCAGCCAUGCCUGCAUCAUCAGUGCAAGGUCAAACAUGCAGAGAGGGAUUCACAGAAGUCAAGACUGCAGAAGAAAACUCUGAAGGAGUUGGAAGAGAUGAGAGCAGAGCUCUCAGCAUAAGGAGAGAUCUUAAUGAAGUUGGAAAUGUUGUACUUGCUGCAAGCACAUGCCCAAAGUUCCAGACCUGUUGGCAGCAGCAUCCUUGAUGUGCUACCAUUUACAUCCGUGGAGGGUUUCAGGAGCUCGAGAGUCAACUCUCUAUUGCCCAGAGCAAGAAUAACUGUGUCUGCUGCUUGCCAAUGAUAGGAGGAUCGUCUCUGCGGAAUGCCCUGCACCACAUAGUGCAGAAGUACAUGCGAGACAGUUAUGCCCAAAGUUUUAGCAUGACGGGGAGGAAAGGGAAGAAAGCAAUUAUGGGCCUGCACAUUCUCAGUGUCAUGACUGGCGCCGAGGCACUGCUUUCAGCGGUCACCAUUCCAAGCCGUCGAUAUCAUCCCUUGAGGACGACAGAUCGACCCGUGCAUCUGUUUGCAGUGACGAGUGGAAGUGGACCCUGACGUGGCGCUGCCAUCGACGCUACUUAAGCGGGACCGCGCUCAUCGCUCUGCACUUCGGUUGGCAGCAGCGGCUGUGGCAACAAGUUUCUGCCGUCAAGCCCACGCAUUUCACUACGCAGAGGCAGUGAAGAACUUCCCUGAUGCCAACGACACGAUGGUGUGGUCAUAUGCUGCUGAUUGGCUGUGUUGCGCUCCAUCAACGAUUCAGAGAAGUCUACUGUAGACGAUGCCGGGGCACUGGUGCUAAGGUGAAUGAAGAGAGGCAUCGACCGCCUCGUUGAUAGUUUUACCUGCAGAAGCUGCACUGCAUCGCUGAUGGCCGCUGUUGCUCUAGCAGUGGCUUCCAUAAAGUCGGUACUGCAGGAACCACCACAGCACAAGACGAUGAUGAUGACUGCCAAGUUGACAUAAAAAAUUGAAACCCUUUCAGUUUUCCAACCCACACCAGCCCACAAGAAACGUAGCCAUGUUAGCAAUCUUUCAAGUAAGAACCCUCACCAUUGCUCUCCUUCUGAGCUACCAUGCUCUGGAGAACCUCAACCAAACAGAAGUUCUUGGGAAUCUGAAGACCAUAUGUACGCAGGCAACAGCACAGGACAACACUUACGACAGGGAGUCCAAAGACAAUGAACCCCAAAAAGAUGCUCGGAGCAUGAAGUCGGCAUUGUUUUGUUCCAGGUGGAUUGGACAGCUUAGGAAUCAAUGCUUGGAAAUGAUUUUAGCACCUGGUUAAUUGCAAUUUCCAAAUGAUCAAGGCCAAGCACAUGCCUGAAGCUCAGCAACAGACACAAAGGGUACCUUUCCUUGCCCAAAAUAAUGCUCUCAAUCAGGCUGAAACCACAAGCUGAUUUGACUAAGCUUACGAUGGAGGAUCUUGCCAUGGUACUUGAUGCCUUGACUCCAAACGAGGCUCUUAUUGAACAUCGUCACUACCCAUGACCCAGCUAAAUCACGCCAAGCAAUUGACCAGCCUGCUCUGUGAGUUCAACUGCAUAGUGCGCUGUUCCUCUUUCAGUGCAUCCUGUGCAGACAUGCACCAAGCUGUGAUUUGUGGGUUUGCAAAGGACAGCACAAAUGAAAUGCUCAUGGUGAAGCUCUCCUUGGAAGGGUAAACAAUCAUUGCUAUUUGCCCAUGGAAAGUCUCAAUCAGCCCUUGUCACGAUGGAGGCUUGCAGGACGCUGGCUCACAUACUUUACUGCUGCAUGCCCCUGAAAAUGUACCCGUACGAGCAGAGGCCUGUUGUCUGUUAAAUUUACACUGCCACAGCUUGGUUCAUACACAAGACAUUUACUGAAACAAGGGCAUGUUCAGCUAAUGCGGCACCCUGCACAAAAACGCAUGGACAUGUGCAUGGAUCAAGACCUGCAUUGCGUUUUAUGUAAAAACUUGGGCCAUUUAGCAACUGACCACGAGUGCCCUCGCUGAUAAGCACAGACUAAAACAGCACAGAAGUGAGCCAAGACAGCAUACCGCCCCCGCAGCUGACAGCGCCAAGACAUGGACAAAGGCAAAAUCUAGAGCUGUCCAUGCAGAAACAGCAGGCGACACCCACUGCAAUUCUAUGACUACGACGCGGCCUUCCUGAAGCUGCAACCUGCAUCAGAGCCUCUUCGGCAAUCCCAGGUAUUUUGACCAUUGAGGACAGCCUCACCAUGCCACAGCCCUCAAGCAUGCCGAGUUCUGUUGAAAAGUUAACACACCGCAGACCAUAAUGCACAUCUUAGACAACCAGACUAACAGGAUAUAAGACUUCGCUUCCAUACAGCGCCAGCUACAGCUUUUAACGGGGAUGAUGACAAGACUGAAAGAACACCGAAGAGAUCUACAGCAGAGAAUAUAUCUUUGUCUUACAGUCUCUGACUGGAUACAAGAGCCCCAACCUCAAAACAAAUCACAUUGUUCUUGCAGCACUCUACUUCACAGCCACCUGCGACGGUGGCAACUCUGGAGGAACCUGUGAGAACAGUCGCUGCGCCACUAAACAUUCAGAAGGCGCUCAGCAGCAUACAAAAAACUUUAUCUCCAAUCGGAUAUGAAGCAAUCGGACAUCAAGUAUUGUUAACAGCUUUCAGGAGCUCUCAGCAGCUUAGUCGCUGUUGUUACCCCAACUACAGCUAAGUAUGGGUAAGCCACAAAACGCAGCUAAAUCAAACUUACAAGCCAGCUGUGACCACGCCGCAGGUGUUACAGUAGUACUCCCCUGGGCUAGCCAAAUGUGCAACAGAGCUUAACCACCUUUCUAGGGGCUAGCUAUGUAUUUAAGUUUGUAUCUAUGUAUGUUUCUAUAACCGUUUUCUCACCUACCUGGGUCAGUGGGUCGAAUCUGUAGCGCAUCAGGUUGCUGUGCUGAGGGAACAGGGUUCGAAACCAAACAUUGAACCAACUUGGGUCACUGAGUAUGUGGUAAUGUGUACAAACAUGCCGCUCUUCGAUGAACCUCUUUCACGCUGACAUGGGUCACUGUAGAUGUGAGACUGGUUUAGGUGGCAUUGUUCAAAGAAACCUUGACGCCGAGGUGGAGCAGUGGGUAUGUGCCACUUGGUCUGGCUGGCCUUCAACGAACCUCGUCAUUGCCAACUUGGGUAACUAGGUAAGUGCCAUUUGGAAUGUGCUGCUCUACAAUGACGAAAAAGAUAGCUUACUCCGAUGCUGAGCGGAAUCGAACCCACGUCACAAGGACAGCAAUCCGACGCCAUGAAUGCACUGAGUAUGUGCCACUCUUCAAUGACCCUCUUGCCAACUUGGGUCCCUGAGUAUGUACCACUGAGUGUGCAGCCAGUGAGGGAGCAAUUUUCGGCA
Molecule: long non-coding RNA, 3843 nt
Organism: Dermacentor albipictus
Lineage: Eukaryota; Metazoa; Arthropoda; Arachnida; Ixodida; Ixodidae
Source: RefSeq, a predicted model, not a curated record